Transfer RNA from Pleurotus ostreatus PC15, 72 nucleotides. It matches the Rfam family "tRNA". Rfam says of the family: Transfer RNA (tRNA) molecules are approximately 80 nucleotides in length. Their secondary structure includes four short double-helical elements and three loops (D, anti-codon, and T loops). Further hydrogen bonds mediate the characteristic L-shaped molecular structure. tRNAs have two regions of fundamental functional importance: the anti-codon, which is responsible for specific mRNA codon recognition, and the 3' end, to which the tRNAs corresponding amino acid is attached (by aminoacyl-tRNA synthetases). tRNAs cope with the degeneracy of the genetic code in two manners: having more than one tRNA (with a specific anti-codon) for a particular amino acid; and 'wobble' base-pairing, i.e. permitting non-standard base-pairing at the 3rd anti-codon position. The record is from Rfam. Lineage: Eukaryota; Fungi; Basidiomycota; Agaricomycetes; Agaricales; Pleurotaceae.
GCCUCGGUGGCUCAGUGGUAAAGCGUCGCACUCGUAAUGCGAAGAUCCCCUGUUCGAUCCAGGGUCGAGGCA